Molecule: long non-coding RNA, 1651 nt
Organism: Pogoniulus pusillus (Red-fronted tinkerbird)
Lineage: Eukaryota; Metazoa; Chordata; Aves; Piciformes; Lybiidae
Exons: 2
Source: RefSeq, a predicted model, not a curated record
GGAUCUGAUGCCUUAGCAGAUUUAGAGCUUGGUUUGUGAGAGUCUGUGUUAGGUCCUGCUUAUGGAAUCCAACCUCCUACCUACUGGGUUUUUUCUGAUUGCUGGUGGAAAAGGCCUGGAAGUUGACCUUUGAUGCAUAAGGAGCCAGGCAGCGUUGUCAGCCUGUCUCCGUUCAGAGGGCAAUGGAAGAUCCUUUUUCUGCACCUGAACUCCACGCUCCAUGAUGCAACGUGUGAGGUUGAAAAACACCUGGAGAUUUGCAUUGAAUGAAUGUCAUCAUCAUAAUUAAAACAGGGUCUUCCCAAUUCCAAGAUCUCAUCAACUCUAAGUUUACUGAAAAAAAGCAAAGCACCAAGCAGUGCAUGGUGCAGGAAUGACACGCACAGGUUCAGCAGUAGUUAGAGCAAGUGAUUUGCACUCCACUCCCCCCCCACCAAAAAAAUGUUUUCCAUAAAAUGUCAGUGACACAAAAAUUCUCAGGUCAUCAGUUCUGCUUUCAAGAAAAAAAAAUACAGAGUGAAGUCCUGUGACCUACAGUGUUUUUCUCGAGAGAUUUUGAAUCUCCUCUAAAUACUUUAAUUUCCCAUCAGAAGGUGAGUGGGAUGCUGAUGUCUUAGUUGAUAAAACAGGAGUGGUCUCAGAAAAGAGAUUUGAUUUGAAAGCAUGGGCUAAUUAAUUUUGAAGAGGAUGAUGCUUUUCAACUGGCACCCCCCCAGAAAAAAAAAAAAAAGGUAUGAUGUUAUUUCACCCAACAGAAAAAAGAGAAUGGUGUAGGUGGGAGCUAAUUGCUUGAAUGUCAUCUCCAGUCCCAGAUACAGGUACCUCAGUCUGAACUUGACUCCUGUUGUUCAUGCUCCCUGAGCACAUCACGUUUACUUCUGAAAGGGCCAAGUAGGGCUGAUGAAUCCCAGUGUUGGUAACAGCUGUGUGAAGUGAUGGAACCUGCCCAGAAAAUGAGAGGAAUGGCCAUCUGGAAGGCAGGAGGAGAACAUAGGAGACAUUUCCUGCUGCUCUGCAAUUAAUCAGAGUCUGUCUUUCAAGACAAAUCUUGGAGGCCCAACUUGACUUUAUUGGAGAAAAAUCUUUAAACCAACUAACUUUGCACUUUUAGUAAGGAUAUAGUCUACUACCAGGAGCAAAUAAAGCAUCCAACUUUGGCAAGACACCCUCUCUAUUCUGUUCUGGUUGUACCUGAAAUGUGAAUGAACCUACCCCAAAAAUAUCUUCCUACAAAAGACAAUUUGAGUAUAGUGGUAUUGACUUUCAUCAGAAGAGCAUCCUAUUCCUAAAGCUUAGAUCAUGGCUUCUCCAUGCUAUAAAGGGCUUUGAACUCGAGUUGGGUCUGAAUUAUGUGACAUGUAGAAGGAUAUUUAUAUCCAGCCUUGCUCUGGGGGGCCACUUGCCUCAUCUAAAUAAUUUUAAGGAAAAAAAAACCCAAGUUAGAUAAUCUGGAUGGUAUCUUCUAUGAUGCAGUCCUAAGUAUCUUCCUCCUUAUGAUUUCUUACCCCUUCUCUGUUGAGUAGAGAAAACAGUGAUAUGGUACCUGCUGUGCAAUAUAGCUGUCCUUGCAACAAACCUUGUGUAACUCUUGCUGUGACCAAGGAAUUAGCAAAUCAAAUUCACAGGAAAAUAAACCUUCUGUAUUAUGGUA